CAAGCCCUUCUGCUGGGGGUGGCGCAGCGAGGCCUUCCCGCCCGCGGGGAGAAACGCCUCAGCGGGCCGGAGGCGUGAGGGACGUGGCGGGGCGGGCCCCCAGCACGGCUCCGGGGGUAGCAGGGCCGUAAGGCUGACGGGAAAGGCGCUGGUUUUCUUUCUGACUGGAAAUGUUACGAAUGGGCCCUAUUGUUUGUUUCUAUUCUGAUGCAAAUUUCUCCAGGUCUUGCGUUUGGAGUUGCUUUACCGCAGCCGAAUUGCUGCAAUCCCACCCACCUCCCUCAGGUGACAGGACUCUGGGUCAUGCAAAGUGCGAGCCCCCUGCGGCUUGCCCUCUGGGGAGGAAACCUUUCUGUGUCAGAUUUGCUUGGUAAUUAGGUUUUCUGAAGUUGUAAUGCACUGCCUCAUCCCUCUUAAAGCUUUGUCAGGGUACUGACUUCCAUAAUUCCCUGACCUAAUUAGUCAUGACAGCUGUUUGUUUAGCAGGGCCCCUAAUGCUACCAGAACUACCGUUCUGACACCAUCUUUUCAAAUGCACGGUUUGUUCAGAUCGGAGGGAAAAUCUUAAAGGAGUAUUAGCUUCCUGGUCCAUAUACCAGUUGUGCCUGUCCUGUUCAAACUGAGAAUAAGGGAGGUUUAUUAUUCAGGAGUUCUUAAAGUUGCAGAUUGAGCUGUUCUGCAUAAAGCGCAGGAUUAAAACAAUCUCCUUACCACUGAGCAGUGUUAUUCUGCAUCUAAGAUAUGUGUUUCUCUGCAGCCAAGCUGAACGUUUCCUUCAGAAAUCUUUCUCUUUCCCAUAGCACAGCAGUGCUCACGCAUGAGGUCAUGCCUUAUCUGAUUCAUAGAGGCUUCUGAAACCCAGCAGGAAAAACAUGAAAAACCUUCCACUUGGGUUUUCCACAGGAGUUUAGAAUAACUGGAUGCAAAAAUUACCUUAACUCAGAAAAUCCCAUCCUGACUCUGUGCAUCAUAGUUUUCUCGAUAUGCACACAUCAGUGUAUCUGCAUGACUGUAAGAUUGCAGCAGGGCCGUGAUAUGAACGCAGCCAACAGAAAUUAGACCAAGGCCACGUGUAAACGAUGAGGUUGCCACGUAAUCCUUCCUGAAGAAAGCCAGCUUGAAGUCGUUGGUUUAGGCAACAAAUCUGUGCAGCAGCUUGAAUGUCCUGAGAUAGUCAUGGUAAGCAAGCAGGGUGCUAAGUGCUGUGCUGUGCUGUCAGAGCUGCAGUGUGGUCUGAUGUAAAUUUAUGGAUUAUCAAAUUCAGUGAAGCGGAGUUCUGUGGAGGAUUCCCAAAGGUCUCCCGAGAGCCCUACGAGGAAGAAAGAAAUGGGCAAAUGCUGCCACAACCUUUUUCAUUAUUUUUUAAAUAAUGAAGGUUGGAGUAGUGAUCAACUCCUACUUGGAAGAACAGCCCCAGUGAGGCAGUGAGGGGCGUUAUGAUAAUGCUCAUACAGAGCCACUGCCUGACAGAAACGCUGGUGGGAGUCUUUGCUGCAUUGUCGUCUAUUGAAACCCUUAAAGAUGAAAAAUCUGUUGAGAAACAAACCAAACCCUUAGUGUUCAUUCAGUGCUUUUUUGCUUCUGUGUCUGACCUUUAACAAGUACUACUUGGGGAUAAUUUAUCUUGGAGAUGUGCAGUGAGUCAUUUAAUCCUAAUAUGUAACUGGAUAUAGUAAAUAUUAGUUGAAGGACAAAGCUUGCUGAAAAGUUCUCUGAAUGCAUCUCUGGAGGUGUGAACUAGAACACAUACAGCCAGGCUAUAUUCAGCUUACUGUGUUUCUGUGGGAGCUUGCAGCUUGCUGACAUUUUAGAAGUUCUAGAAAACCUAACAUUGAAGAAGCCUUGGAUGAGAACGGACUUCUUUCUCCUAUAGUGGUGUUAUGAAAUGGUUACUUCUGUGUCUGACUCUCUCUGUUCCUUUAGAGUGAUGAUCCAUGAAGAAAUGUACUGAACUACUUUACCUGGCUAUUUUUGCACACGCAGACACUAGAAGAGCAAACUUCCAAUGCUUUUCACAAGGGAAGUGUGGCAGCAACAGCAAAAUCAUUCAUUUUGUCAUAGUCAAGUGUGAAAAUGAACUGGGUAAAAAAAUAUUUUUCUCCAGUUACUGCAGGUUUGAUUUGUCUAGACAGCCCAGAAGAAAUUCCCAGUCUCUAGAACAUUGUCUCUUAUAGAGAAAAAUACUUGUGCCACCUUCAUAAAACAAAUGGAGCUUAGAGAGUGUUGAAAUUCCUAUGAACUAAGUGUUGAACUAGUGGGAAAGGCUUGUGUCUUCUCUAAGACCAUAGAAGCAGACAUACAGUUGAAGGAAUCUGCUUAUAAAGUUACUAAGGGCAGUGCUUAGAUUAAACAAUCUAAGAAUUAAUUAACACACUGCAUUGUUCUUAACCUGGUAAUGAAGUAGUCUGAUAUGUCAGUACCCUUGGAGCUCAGGGGCUCAGGGUCCUCAGCAGAAGCGGGAACAUAGUGAAGGUAUUGAUUAAAUUGAUAAAAUAGAAAUACAAUACCUGAAGAAAUACACAGUUAAGAGAAUUUCUUGAUAGCUUUUAUUAAUAAGGUAUAAUGGGUACAGUAUAAACAGGGUUAGAGUACCCUUUGCUAACUGCUAUUUACAAUCUGGAGAAAGAAUGUUUUACUGAACCUCCAGGAUUAAGUCAGGGAAGAGCUAUUGUUCGUUGUUGGCAGCCAGUCAAAAUAUGAAACCCACUCCACAUGAUGUGGAUUUGUUUAACUCAUUUUUAGGCCUCCCUGUUACCUAACAUGAAGUAAAAUACAGAGGCAUCUGAUUUGGUCUAUUACAGUCUUCUACCUCAUUUAC
Long non-coding RNA from Cygnus olor (mute swan), 2818 nucleotides. RefSeq lists it as uncharacterized. The record is from RefSeq and is a predicted model, not a curated record. NCBI's taxonomy places the organism in Eukaryota, Metazoa, Chordata, Aves, Anseriformes, Anatidae. The transcript is spliced from 3 exons.